RNAcentral lists this ribosomal RNA (497 nucleotides) under uncultured bacterium. RNAcentral's name for it is "partial 16S ribosomal RNA". It matches the Rfam family "Bacterial small subunit ribosomal RNA", at positions 28 to 507 of the family's 1533-position model. The record is from RNAcentral.
GACGAACGCUGGCGGCGUGCCUAAUACACGCAAGUUGAGCGCUGAAGGUUGGUACUUGUACCAACUGGAUGAGCAGCGAACGGGUGAGUAACGCGUGGGGAAUCUGCCUUUGAGCGGGGGACAACAUUUGGAAACGAAUGCUAAUACCGCAUAAAAACUUUAAACACAAGUUUUAAGUUUGAAAGAUGCAAUUGCAUCACUCAAAGAAGAUCCCGCGUUGUAUUAGCUAGUUGGUGAGGUAAAGGCUCACCAAGGCGAUGAUACAUAGCCGACCUGAGAGGGUGAUCGGCCACAUUGGGACUGAGACACGGCCCAAACUCCUACGGGAGGCAGCAGUAGGGAAUCUUCGGCAAUGGACGAAAGUCUGACCGAGCAACGCCGCGUGAGUGAAGAAGGUUUUCGGAUCGUAAAACUCUGUUGGUAGAGAAGAACGUUGGUGAGAGUGGAAAGCUCAUCAAGUGACGGUAACUACCCAGAAAGGGACGGCUAACUACGUG